AAAGGGGCUUCGGCUCCGAGUAAAGUGGCGCACGGGUGAGUAACACGUAGGUAACCUGCCUCUAAGAUUGGGAUAACUUGUCGAAAGAUGAGCUAAUACCAAAUAAGACCACGGUUUCCUCGGGGACAGGGGUCAAAGGUAGCCUCUAUUUAUAAGCUAUCGCUGAGAGAUGGGCCUGCGUACCAUUAGCUAGUUGGUGAGGUAACGGCUCACCAAGGCAAAGAUGGUUAGCUGGUCUGAGAGGAUGAUCAGCCACACUGGAACUGAGACACGGUCCAGACUCCUACGGGAGGCAGCAGUGGGGAAUAUUGCGCAAUGGGCGAAAGCCUGACGCAGCAACGCCGCGUGAGUGAUGAAGGCCUUCGGG
This 367-nucleotide ribosomal RNA is filed under the name uncultured bacterium. RNAcentral describes it as "bacterial SSU rRNA". It matches the Rfam family "Bacterial small subunit ribosomal RNA", at positions 71 to 422 of the family's 1533-position model. The record is from RNAcentral.